CCUACGGGGGGCAGCAGUGAGGAAUAUUGGUCAAUGGCCGUAAGGCUGAACCAGCCAAGUCGCGUGAAGGAAGAAGGAUCUAUGGUUUGUAAACUUCUUUUAUAGGGGAAUAAAGGUAUCCACGUGUGGCUAUUUGCAUGUACCCUAUGAAUAAGCAUCGGCUAACUCCGUGCCAGCAGCCGCGGUAAUACGGAGGAUGCGAGCGUUAUCCGGAUUUAUUGGGGUUAAAGGGUGCGUAGGUUGUUUUUUAAGUCAGCGGUGAAAGUUUGUGGCUCAACCAUAAAAUUGCCGUUGAAACUGGAAGACUUGAGUGUGUUUGAGGUAGGCGGAAUGCGUGGUGUAGCGGUGAAAUGCAUAGAUAUCACGCAGAACUCCGAUUGCGAAGGCAGCUUACUAAGCAAUAACUGACACUGAAGCACGAAAGCGUGGGGAUCAAACAGGAUUAGAUACCCCAGUAGUC
Molecule: ribosomal RNA, 460 nt
Filed under: uncultured bacterium
Lineage: Bacteria
Description: partial 16S ribosomal RNA
Rfam family: Bacterial small subunit ribosomal RNA
Source: RNAcentral